This is a non-coding RNA of Macaca mulatta (Rhesus monkey), 545 nucleotides long. NCBI's taxonomy places the organism in Eukaryota, Metazoa, Chordata, Mammalia, Primates, Cercopithecidae. The record is from RefSeq and is a predicted model, not a curated record.
ACUUAUAAUGCAGUCCCAUUAUAAGUCAAGGAACAUCUGUAAUAUCCAGAAUCAUUAGCUGUAUGUAACAAGAUGAAUGGAAAAAAGUACACCUUCUCUAACUUUCUAGAAGUGGAAGGCAUGAUGCUUCUUUUUUUCUUCUAACAGCAACCUUAGAACAGCCUGACAAAAGGUUUGAGUAUGACUAGGAAUUGACCACAAAAAAAGGCAAAGCUUAACUACUAGAAUGGGAUGAACAAAUUUUGUGAUUGUGGAUAAAAAGAGCAACAGCACUGGCACCUAGGAAUGGACAAUCUUGGACCAUUGGAGGUGAAGAGGGUGAGGAUUAAUGUUCUCUUUGUAUGCUAGAUGAAGCACACAGCCUGGCAAGGCAACAAUAUAGUUUGGUUGUCUGUUGGUUUGUCAUCUUCUUCCACAUUCCAUGAAAACAGAAAAACUCCUGUGAAUAUAGCCUCUCCUGAACAUUUCUGCAACAUGAAUGGCAGCUUCCCAAUGCAGAUUCCCUAUCCUCUUAAGUGUGAAAAUACAGGAAUCAGCACAACAUU